Molecule: ribosomal RNA, 496 nt
Filed under: uncultured bacterium
Lineage: Bacteria
Description: partial 16S ribosomal RNA
Rfam family: Bacterial small subunit ribosomal RNA
Source: RNAcentral
AUGAACGCUGGCGGCGUGCCUAAUACAUGCAAGUCGAGCGAACGGACGAGAAGCUUGCUUCUCUGAUGUUAGCGGCGGACGGGUGAAUAACACGUGGAUAACCUACCUAUAAGACUGGGAUAACUUCGGGAAACCGUAGCUAAUACCGGAUAAUAUUUUGAACCGCAUGGUUCAAAAGUGAAAGACGGUCUUGCUGUCACUUAUAGAUGGAUCCGCGCUGCAUUAGCUAGUUGGUAAGGUAACGGCUUACCAAGGCAACGAUGCAUAGCCGACCUGAGAGGGUGAUCGGCCACACUGGAACUGAGACACGGUCCAGACUCCUACGGGAGGCAGCAGUAGGGAAUCUUCCGCAAUGGGCGAAAGCCUGACGGAGCAACGCCGCGUGAGUGAUGAAGGUCUUCGGAUCGUAAAACUCUGUUAUUAGGGAAGAACAUAUGUGUAAGUAACUGUGCACAUCUUGACGGUACCUAAUCAGAAAGCCACGGCUAACUACGUG